CCUACGGGAGGCUGCAGUGAGGAAUAGUGGUCAAUGGGCGCGAGCCUGAACCAGCCAAGUAGCGUGAAGGAUGACUGCCCUACGGGUUGUAAACUUCUUUUAUAAAGGAAUAAAGGGAGGCACGUGUGCCUUGUGGGAUGUACUUUAUGAAGAAGGAUCGGCUAACUCCGGGCCAGCAGCCGCGGUAAGACGGUGGAUCCGAGCGUUAUCAGGAUUGAUUGGGGUUAAAGGGAGCGUAGAUGGGUUGUUAAGUCAGUUUUGAAAGUUUGCGGCUCAACCGUAAAAUUGCAAUUGAUACUGGCAGCCUUGAGUACAGUUGAGGUCGGCGGCAUUCGUGGUGUAGCGGUUAAAUGCUUCGAUCUCACG
This 366-nucleotide ribosomal RNA is filed under the name uncultured bacterium. Its description in RNAcentral is "partial 16S ribosomal RNA". It matches the Rfam family "Bacterial small subunit ribosomal RNA", at positions 338 to 701 of the family's 1533-position model. The record is from RNAcentral.